This is a long non-coding RNA of Myxocyprinus asiaticus (Chinese sucker), 1698 nucleotides long. RefSeq lists it as uncharacterized. The record is from RefSeq and is a predicted model, not a curated record. Lineage: Eukaryota; Metazoa; Chordata; Actinopteri; Cypriniformes; Catostomidae. The transcript is spliced from 3 exons.
CACAAACAGAAAUUCCGGCCUAGAAUGGACAGAGUAGAAUAGAAUAUACUGGCUGUAGCAUUGUUUUCAGAGAAGCAAGCUCAAGCUCAAACUACUCUUUAAAGAUUAAGGAGCCAUCUCAUUGCUCACCGGUACUGGAUGGGGCUACAGAAGUGAUUAAAGACGAACUGAGAUCCUUCACACUGGUGCCAAAACCCUGGAAAGGAGGAAGGGCAUGCUGUCUGGGAGAACUCUCCACUGCCGUCUGCCAGGAGAAGGAGGAGCCGUUGCUGUCCACCAGGGGACGGAGUAGUCGCAGCCAUCCACCAGGAGCCAGAGGAACUGCUGCUAUCCACCAGGAAGUGGAGGAGCUGUUGCUGUCUGCCAGGUGAUGGAGGACCCGCUGCCGUCUGCCAGGGGACGAAGGAGCGGCUGAGGACCGGGUGGGCGGCGUGCCCGUGGGAGCUGAAGAACAGCGUUUCCAUUCUCUCCCUCCUCUCUCUCUCUCUCUCUCUCUCUUUUCCUCCCUCCCCUCAUCUCUCUUAGAUUCUCAGGAGGUGGGGAGGACCAUCGGGUGGCAGAACGGGCAGAAGGGCAGCGUCUUCCCUCCAAUGAUGGGGAGAGGUGGAGUAAGGCAGUCCAAAUUGCGCCCCAGCCUGAAUCGGGUGGUGGAGGAUUCUGGCGAGGAUGAUGGCGUGGCCAGGCCGUGAGGAUGCACACCCUGUGCUGAGUUGCCUAAUCAGCAAGAGGGAGAUAAGGGAAGAGCCAGGAACACCAGAGAGAGGGAGAGAGAGGCACAUGUGGCCACUCUGUGUGUUUAUGUUGCUUUAUUUUCAGUUUGAUGUUCUGUUAAUUAAAGUCUUGUUGAAUGUGGAUCCGGCUCCCGCUUCCUCCUUUCCCAGACAAACUGAGAUCCUUCUCAGCUGUGUUAAAUUGGGAUGUGAACAGAUAUUCAUUAUUUAGUUAACUGUAAAACGCAGCUGUAUUAGAAUACCAAAAUCACUAUUCGGUAAUUCUACACAUGCUAAACAGGUCUUCAAGAAACUUUAGGUUUUGGUCUGGUCAGAUUUUCAAGUAUAGGGAGGGUUAACGCCUAAUUGCUCCUUGAUGCAGUCCAUGGGCUAGGGUUUGGUGAGACAGAGCUUACACAACUCUUCCUUGCCGGACUCGAUGAGCCUUUUGAUUGAAACAUGCUUGGCAACCAGGAAUAUUGGAACAUUUGGAGGUGGUCAACCAUGUUUUCCAGCUUUAAAAGAUGGAGCUUCUACUCGGGGAAUUGGACCCAUCUCUGACUAUCCCACCUCCCAGUCAUUGUCAGCCCCACUUGUUGGUCCAGUGCGGGCGAGGCGUCAUCAGAGAAAGAGGGGGAGCUCCAAAGCGCCCACCCUUUCCACUGCAGCCCCCUUGGAGGUGCCCACCCUCUUCACUGCAGCUACCCUGGAGGCACACGCCCUCUUCGCUGCAACCCCUGUGGAGGUGCCUGACCUCACUGUUGCAGCACACCUGGAGGCACCUGCCUUUGACCCUGUCCUCUCCCUAGAGCCUCCCACCCCAGAGCUACCGGACCUUAUCCAUUGCCAUUGCUUUGAGAUGCAUUGGGUUGUUUUUAGAUUACAAUAACUGCUAAAUAUUGAGAGUCUUUCAUUUUGUGUUAGUUUUGGAAUGCUCUUCAUGUGAGUUAGUGAGAUGUUAUCCAAAGCUUUUGAUGGUUUGCCUAUA